Molecule: ribosomal RNA, 434 nt
Filed under: uncultured bacterium
Lineage: Bacteria
Description: bacterial SSU rRNA
Rfam family: Bacterial small subunit ribosomal RNA
Source: RNAcentral
UCGGGAAUUUUGGGCAAUGGGCGAAAGCCUGACCCAGCAACGCCGCGUGAAGGAUGAAGUAUUUCGGUAUGUAAACUUCGAAAGAAUAGGAAGAAUAAAUGACGGUACUAUUUAUAAGGUCCGGCUAACUACGUGCCAGCAGCCGCGGUAAUACGUAGGGACCAAGCGUUGUUCGGAUUUACUGGGCGUAAAGGGCGCGUAGGCGGCAAUUCAAGUCAUCUGUGAAAUCUCCGGGCUUAACUCGGAACGGUCAGAUGAUACUGCUUUGCUAGAGUGCAGAAGGGGCAAUCGGAAUUCUUGGUGUAGCGGUGAAAUGCGUAGAUAUCGGAAGGAACAUCAGUUGCGAAGGCGGCUCUCUGGACUCAAACUGACGCUGAGGCACGAAAGCGUGGGUAGCGAACAGGAUUAGAUACCCAAGUAGUCCCUGAGCGGGC